RNAcentral lists this long non-coding RNA (325 nucleotides) under Pan troglodytes (chimpanzee). RNAcentral describes it as "lincRNA". Lineage: Eukaryota; Metazoa; Chordata; Mammalia; Primates; Hominidae. The record is from RNAcentral.
GGUGUCCGCGAGUUGCCGAAUGAAGCUGAGCGUCUCAGUGGAACCAGGGAUCUCAGGGAGAACCUUUUUGUGAUGAAAACGAGAUGAAACUAUGGAAGAACCAGAGAAGCAUCAGCCUGAGAAGGACUCAACUGAUUAUUGCUGGCUUUGAAGACAGGAAGGAGCCAUGAGCCAGGGAAUGCUGGUGACCUCUGGAAGCUGGAAAAGGGAAGGAAGUAGAUUGUCCUCUAGCCCCUUCAGAAAGGAAUGCAGCACUGUGACACCUUGAUCUCACAGUAGAAAACGGAUGAACACACCUAGAUUUCUUCCCGCGUGAAUCCAGUUG